Molecule: ribosomal RNA, 2905 nt
Filed under: Escherichia coli
Lineage: Bacteria; Pseudomonadati; Pseudomonadota; Gammaproteobacteria; Enterobacterales; Enterobacteriaceae
Description: 23S ribosomal RNA
Rfam family: Bacterial large subunit ribosomal RNA
Source: RNAcentral
GGUUAAGCGACUAAGCGUACACGGUGGAUGCCCUGGCAGUCAGAGGCGAUGAAGGACGUGCUAAUCUGCGAUAAGCGUCGGUAAGGUGAUAUGAACCGUUAUAACCGGCGAUUUCCGAAUGGGGAAACCCAGUGUGAUUUGUCACACUAUCAUUAACUGAAUCCAUAGGUUAAUGAGGCGAACCGGGGGAACUGAAACAUCUAAGUACCCCGAGGAAAAGAAAUCAACCGAGAUUCCCCCAGUAGCGGCGAGCGAACGGGGAGGAGCCCAGAGCCUGAAUCAGUGUGUGUGUUAGUGGAAGCGUCUGGAAAGGCGCGCGAUACAGGGUGACAGCCCCGUACACAAAAAUGCACAUGCUGUGAGCUCGAUGAGUAGGGCGGGACACGUGGUAUCCUGUCUGAAUAUGGGGGGACCAUCCUCCAAGGCUAAAUACUCCUGACUGACCGAUAGUGAACCAGUACCGUGAGGGAAAGGCGAAAAGAACCCCGGCGAGGGGAGUGAAAAAGAACCUGAAACCGUGUACGUACAAGCAGUGGGAGCACGCUUCGGCGUGUGACUGCGUACCUUUUGUAUAAUGGGUCAGCGACUUAUAUUCUGUAGCAAGGUUAACCGAAUAGGGGAGCCGAAGGGAAACCGAGUCUUAACUGGGCGUUAAGUUGCAGGGUAUAGACCCGAAACCCGGUGAUCUAGCCAUGGGCAGGUUGAAGGUUGGGUAACACUAACUGGAGGACCGAACCGACUAAUGUUGAAAAAUUAGCGGAUGACUUGUGGCUGGGGGUGAAAGGCCAAUCAAACCGGGAGAUAGCUGGUUCUCCCCGAAAGCUAUUUAGGUAGCGCCUCGUGAAUUCAUCUCCGGGGGUAGAGCACUGUUUCGGCAAGGGGGUCAUCCCGACUUACCAACCCGAUGCAAACUGCGAAUACCGGAGAAUGUUAUCACGGGAGACACACGGCGGGUGCUAACGUCCGUCGUGAAGAGGGAAACAACCCAGACCGCCAGCUAAGGUCCCAAAGUCAUGGUUAAGUGGGAAACGAUGUGGGAAGGCCCAGACAGCCAGGAUGUUGGCUUAGAAGCAGCCAUCAUUUAAAGAAAGCGUAAUAGCUCACUGGUCGAGUCGGCCUGCGCGGAAGAUGUAACGGGGCUAAACCAUGCACCGAAGCUGCGGCAGCGACACUAUGUGUUGUUGGGUAGGGGAGCGUUCUGUAAGCCUGUGAAGGUGGCCUGUGAGGGUUGCUGGAGGUAUCAGAAGUGCGAAUGCUGACAUAAGUAACGAUAAAGCGGGUGAAAAGCCCGCUCGCCGGAAGACCAAGGGUUCCUGUCCAACGUUAAUCGGGGCAGGGUGAGUCGACCCCUAAGGCGAGGCCGAAAGGCGUAGUCGAUGGGAAACAGGUUAAUAUUCCUGUACUUGGUGUUACUGCGAAGGGGGGACGGAGAAGGCUAUGUUGGCCGGGCGACGGUUGUCCCGGUUUAAGCGUGUAGGCUGAUUUUCCAGGCAAAUCCGGAAAAUCAAGGCUGAGGCGUGAUGACGAGGCACUACGGUGCUGAAGCAACAAAUGCCCUGCUUCCAGGAAAAGCCUCUAAGCAUCAGGUAACAUCAAAUCGUACCCCAAACCGACACAGGUGGUCAGGUAGAGAAUACCAAGGCGCUUGAGAGAACUCGGGUGAAGGAACUAGGCAAAAUGGUGCCGUAACUUCGGGAGAAGGCACGCUGAUAUGUAGGUGAAGCGACUUGCUCGUGGAGCUGAAAUCAGUCGAAGAUACCAGCUGGCUGCAACUGUUUAUUAAAAACACAGCACUGUGCAAACACGAAAGUGGACGUAUACGGUGUGACGCCUGCCCGGUGCCGGAAGGUUAAUUGAUGGGGUUAGCGGUAACGCGAAGCUCUUGAUCGAAGCCCCGGUAAACGGCGGCCGUAACUAUAACGGUCCUAAGGUAGCGAAAUUCCUUGUCGGGUAAGUUCCGACCUGCACGAAUGGCGUAAUGAUGGCCAGGCUGUCUCCACCCGAGACUCAGUGAAAUUGAACUCGCUGUGAAGAUGCAGUGUACCCGCGGCAAGACGGAAAGACCCCGUGAACCUUUACUAUAGCUUGACACUGAACAUUGAGCCUUGAUGUGUAGGAUAGGUGGGAGGCUUUGAAGUGUGGACGCCAGUCUGCAUGGAGCCGACCUUGAAAUACCACCCUUUAAUGUUUGAUGUUCUAACGUUGACCCGUGAUCCGGGUUGCGGACAGUGUCUGGUGGGUAGUUUGACUGGGGCGGUCUCCUCCUAAAGAGUAACGGAGGAGCACGAAGGUUGGCUAAUCCUGGUCGGACAUCAGGAGGUUAGUGCAAUGGCAUAAGCCAGCUUGACUGCGAGCGUGACGGCGCGAGCAGGUGCGAAAGCAGGUCAUAGUGAUCCGGUGGUUCUGAAUGGAAGGGCCAUCGCUCAACGGAUAAAAGGUACUCCGGGGAUAACAGGCUGAUACCGCCCAAGAGUUCAUAUCGACGGCGGUGUUUGGCACCUCGAUGUCGGCUCAUCACAUCCUGGGGCUGAAGUAGGUCCCAAGGGUAUGGCUGUUCGCCAUUUAAAGUGGUACGCGAGCUGGGUUUAGAACGUCGUGAGACAGUUCGGUCCCUAUCUGCCGUGGGCGCUGGAGAACUGAGGGGGGCUGCUCCUAGUACGAGAGGACCGGAGUGGACGCAUCACUGGUGUUCGGGUUGUCAUGCCAAUGGCACUGCCCGGUAGCUAAAUGCGGAAGAGAUAAGUGCUGAAAGCAUCUAAGCACGAAACUUGCCCCGAGAUGAGUUCUCCCUGACUCCCUGAGAGUCCUGAAGGAACGUUGAAGACGACGACGUUGAUAGGCCGGGUGUGUAAGCGCAGCGAUGCGUUGAGCUAACCGGUACUAAUGAACCGUGAGGCUUAACCUU